GCCGUCUUAGCUCAGUGGU
Molecule: non-coding RNA, 19 nt
Filed under: Arabidopsis thaliana (thale cress)
Lineage: Eukaryota; Viridiplantae; Streptophyta; Magnoliopsida; Brassicales; Brassicaceae
Source: RNAcentral